UACAGAGGUCUCAAGCGUUGUUCGGAUUCAUUGGGCGUAAAGGGUGCGUAGGCGGCGCGGUAAGUCGGGUGUGAAAUUUCGGAGCUUAACUCCGAAACUGCAUUCGAUACUGCCGUGCUUGAGGACUGGAGAGGAGACUGGAAUUUACGGUGUAGCAGUGAAAUGCGUAGAGAUCGUAAGGAAGACCAGUGGCGAAGGCGGGUCUCUGGACAGUUCCUGACGCUGAGGCGCGAAAGCGUGGGGAGCAAACAGG
RNAcentral lists this ribosomal RNA (253 nucleotides) under uncultured bacterium. RNAcentral's name for it is "partial 16S ribosomal RNA". It matches the Rfam family "Bacterial small subunit ribosomal RNA", at positions 524 to 776 of the family's 1533-position model. The record is from RNAcentral.